This is an RNA transcript of Athalia rosae (coleseed sawfly), 1958 nucleotides long. RefSeq lists it as uncharacterized. Lineage: Eukaryota; Metazoa; Arthropoda; Insecta; Hymenoptera; Athaliidae. The transcript has 6 exons. The record is from RefSeq and is a predicted model, not a curated record.
CUACUCGUUUAUUCUCAUGGUUGAUUCUUCCGGUAAGCGACAGGAGGAAAACUACGCGAUGGCGACUGUAGUUUGAGUGGACAGUUUUUGUUGCCAGUAGCUUGCGUUGACGAGCCCUCAUUUCUAGCGACUGGCGAUUUUCGCAGCUAUUAGGACAACUCUUUUGAAUUCACAUCACUGAAGCUUAUUUACUGUUCUAAUGUUGACUAUGCCUUCGAUGCCUCCCGAUGCCCAUAAAAUAUCCCUCAAAAUAAUAGAGGCCAUACAACAACAUCCAGUGCUAUAUAUUUCUGAAGUCAAAGGGGGAGCAAUAAAGUUGCAAGAAUUUCGCCAAAAAGUAUGGAAACGGAUAUCUAUGGAGUUGGGUUUAGAUCCUGGCUGGAUGAGGCUACGAUGGAAGAAUUUAAGGGAUACAUACUGUCGGAUAUUAAAGUAUAAAAACAAGACUGACAAGGGUAUCAGACGCAAAAAAUGGAUAUUCGAAGAUCACCUGAGCUUCCUCAAGUUUCCUUAUGAAUCGGACUACCAGCCGCAAUGUGUAGAGCUUUCAGAGGAAUACAUACAGGAUAUAAAUUCAAGUGAUGCUAAUACAGACGGGCUUUUAGAACAGCUGGAAGAUAGAAAUGAUGAUGAUUUUACAGAAUAUCUAGAAGUUCUUGAGGAAACUGCAGCGGAUCCUAUAUCAGUUGAAAAUGAUGAUCAUAUCAGCCCAAAAAUAGAGAUUGUUGAAGAAAAUAGUCACUUUCAGCAAAUAGAAAAUAAUAAUGAAAUACAGCAGGUCAUUGUUGCCAGUCCUAUCCAACAAAUCGAAUCGAAGUUCAGAAAGAUAAGACCCAAAAGAGCCAAAUACGAACUUCAGCCUACUAUAGAGGUAUCAAGUAGUUACAGUAUUUUGAAGAAUUCCAAUUCAAAUACGGGGAAUUUGAUUGUCCCAACAACCAGCACGAAUGGUAUGCAAACGGCACCAAUUUACCUGACUAAUGCAUCUGUUAUUCCACCGCCGGUUAGUUCAGCAAAAAAACCAAAGGAAGUAAAAUUGACAGAAGCUAAUAUUGACCAAGUUUACUUGGCUCCAGAAGGAAAGAGUGGCAUAGAACUGUUUUUCGACAGUAUGGCUCAGACGGUGAAACGAUUACCUCCUAAAGCUCAGGCAGAUGUUAAAAUGCAAAUAUGUAAACUUGUCACAGAGGCAGAGGUUAAAUAUUCAGGACAAACCUCAACGCAAAAUACACAACAAUUUAUUGCACCUCCAGGAAUGAUCCCUAAAUUAGUACUUAUACCAUGCAGUAUGAUAGAUAAUGCUAGUAACAAGGGCUAAAAUGCAAUUUACGAAUUUUAGAGUUAUCCUCAUGACAGGAGAUGACAGACUGAAGAGUGUACUUCUCACAACCAAUAUACUAAGUAACGUGGUUCAAACGUUGAAAGGUUCAAAGAAUACUACAUAGCAACCUUAAGCACUGAAUUGUCAUGUUUAAAAAACUUUUAUGGACAUUUAACGCAGAACUGUGCUUGAAACUGGGAAAUUUAUAUUUUUUGUACUAAGACGUUCUACAUACCACAGUUCGCCGGACGUGUGCACGGCUCUGUCAAACGCUGUCACUGCACGAACACAACACACUAUGCAGCUGUCAAAAUAUUCACAAACUAAUGUUCCCACAUAAUCGAUUGAUAAUACGAGCCUGCAGGAACGAACGGAGAAAAAGAUGUGAUAUAUUCUGUUUCAAAGUUCAUGUUUAAAAACUGAUAAAGGCUGCGCCUUGCGUUAGCCAAGAAAAUCAUAAUUUGAAACAUCUUCAAAUUGUUGUGGUUGAGGAUUACCAGGUGCCAUGGGUCGGGUAGGCAUCUGACCUCUGGGGCCUACUAUUUGCUGUUGCAUUCCAAGUACUUGCUGCCUAUAUUGUGGUUGCUGCUGUAACAUAGGACACUGACUUAAAAUAUACAAUUUAUGAACUUUGUAA